AACAGGAUUAGAUACCCUGGUAGUCCACGCCCUAAACGAUGUCUACUAGUUGUUGGUGGAGUAAAAUCCAUGAGUAACGCAGCUAACGCGUGAAGUAGACCGCCUGGGGAGUACGGUCGCAAGAUUAAAACUCAAAUGAAUUGACGGGGGCCCGCACAAGCGGUGGAUUAUGUGGAUUAAUUCGAUGCAACGCGAAAAACCUUACCUGGCCUUGACAUGUAACGAACUUUCCAGAGAUGGAUUGGUGCUCGAAAGAGAACGUUAACACAGGUGCUGCAUGGCUGUCGUCAGCUCGUGUCGUGAGAUGUUGGGUUAAGUCCCGCAACGAGCGCAACCCUUGCCAAUAAUUGCCAUCAUUUAGUUGGGCACUUUAUUGGGACUGCCGAUGACAAAUCGGAGGAAGGUGGGGAUGACGUUAAGUCCUCAUGGCCCUUAUGGCCAGGGCUUCACACGUAAUACAAUGGUCGGUACAGAGGGUUGCCAAGCCGCAAGGUGGAGCCAAUCCCAGAAAGCCGAUCGUAGUCCGGAUUGAGGUCUGCAACUCGACCUCAUGAAGUCGGAAUCGCUAGUAAUCGCGGAUCAGCAUGUCGCGGUGAAUACGUUCCCGGGCCUUGUACACACCGCCCGUCACACCAUGGGAGUGGGUUUUACCAGAAGUAGGUAGUCUAACCGCAAGGAGGACGCUUACCACGGUAGCAUUCAUGACUGGGGUGAAGUCGUAACAAGGUAACC
RNAcentral lists this ribosomal RNA (732 nucleotides) under uncultured bacterium. RNAcentral's name for it is "bacterial SSU rRNA". It matches the Rfam family "Bacterial small subunit ribosomal RNA", at positions 771 to 1501 of the family's 1533-position model. The record is from RNAcentral.